RNAcentral lists this ribosomal RNA (253 nucleotides) under uncultured bacterium. RNAcentral's name for it is "partial 16S ribosomal RNA". It matches the Rfam family "Bacterial small subunit ribosomal RNA", at positions 524 to 776 of the family's 1533-position model. The record is from RNAcentral.
UACGAAGGGGGCUAGCGUUGUUCGGAAUCACUGGGCGUAAAGGGCGCGUAGGCGGCCGAUCAAGUCGGGGGUGAAAGCCUGUGGCUCAACCACAGAAUUGCCUUCGAUACUGUUUGGCUUGAGACCGGAAGAGGUUAGUGGAACUGCGAGUGUAGCGGUGAAAUGCGUAGAUAUCAGAAGGAACAUCAGUGGCGAAAGCGGCUUCCUGGUCCAGUACCGACGUUCAGGCACGAAAGCGUGGGGAGCAAACAGG